This 64-nucleotide transfer RNA is filed under the name Parasacculina yatsui. Its description in RNAcentral is "tRNA-His". Lineage: Eukaryota; Metazoa; Arthropoda; Thecostraca; Polyascidae. The record is from RNAcentral.
AUUUAGAUAUUUAAAUUAAUAAUAUUUGCUUGUGAGUCAAAAGUUAAACUUAGUUUUCUAGAUA